Sinocyclocheilus grahami is the source of this 205-nucleotide long non-coding RNA. RefSeq lists it as uncharacterized. The record is from RefSeq and is a predicted model, not a curated record. NCBI's taxonomy places the organism in Eukaryota, Metazoa, Chordata, Actinopteri, Cypriniformes, Cyprinidae. The transcript is spliced from 3 exons.
GUUGUUUUACAGAAGUGAAAGAAAUUUCAGAGCUGCUGUUCAACACAACGGUUCAGAGGAGGAAAUAGAAAUAUCUAGAAACAUUGUUUGAGAGUCAGUGGAGAUCAAACUGUUCAGGUCCAUCAUGAGUGAAACACAAACAUCUGGAGAUGAAGAUUUGUUUCCAGCACGCAGCUCAGUUCAUCAGAAGAGAUCAGAAGCAGAG